RNAcentral lists this transfer RNA (85 nucleotides) under Felis catus (domestic cat). It matches the Rfam family "tRNA". Rfam says of the family: Transfer RNA (tRNA) molecules are approximately 80 nucleotides in length. Their secondary structure includes four short double-helical elements and three loops (D, anti-codon, and T loops). The record is from Rfam by way of RNAcentral. Lineage: Eukaryota; Metazoa; Chordata; Mammalia; Carnivora; Felidae.
GCCUGGGUGGCUCAGUCGGUGGAGCAUCUGACUUCGGCUCAGGUCAUGAUCUCCAGGUUUGUGAGAUCGAGCCCCGCGUCAGGCU